GCCGCUAUGGUGAAAUUGGUAGACACGCUGCUCUUAGGAAGCAGUGCUAAAGCAUCUCGGUUCGAAUCCGAGUGGCGGCA
This 80-nucleotide transfer RNA is filed under the name Cananga odorata. Its description in RNAcentral is "tRNA-Leu". It matches the Rfam family "tRNA". From Rfam's summary of the family: Transfer RNA (tRNA) molecules are approximately 80 nucleotides in length. Their secondary structure includes four short double-helical elements and three loops (D, anti-codon, and T loops). Lineage: Eukaryota; Viridiplantae; Streptophyta; Magnoliopsida; Magnoliales; Annonaceae. The record is from RNAcentral. RNAcentral also lists the same sequence under 1 other name.